AGAGUUUGAUCCUGGCUCAGGACGAACGCUGGCGGCGUGCUUAAUACAUGCAAGUCGAACGGAAUCCAUGCAGUGGCAACACUGUUGAAGAUUUAGUGGCGAACGGGUGCGUAACACGUGAGCAACCUGCCCCAAAGACUGGGAUAACACCGGGAAACCGGUGCUAAUACCGGAUGCCCCCAUGGAGUCGCAUGGCUCUAUGAGGAAAGGAUUCUGCUUUGGGAGGGGCUCGCGGCCUAUCAGCUUGUUGGUGAGGUAACGGCUCACCAAGGCUACGACGGGUAGCUGGUCUGAGAGGACGAUCAGCCACACUGGGACUGAGACACGGCCCAGACUCCUACGGGAGGCAGCAGUAGGGAAUCUUGCGCAAUGGGCGAAAGCCUGACGCAGCAGCGCCGCGUGGGGGAUGAAGGCCUUCGGGUUG
This 424-nucleotide ribosomal RNA is filed under the name uncultured bacterium. Its description in RNAcentral is "bacterial SSU rRNA". It matches the Rfam family "Bacterial small subunit ribosomal RNA", at positions 8 to 425 of the family's 1533-position model. The record is from RNAcentral.